This 253-nucleotide ribosomal RNA is filed under the name uncultured bacterium. RNAcentral's name for it is "partial 16S ribosomal RNA". It matches the Rfam family "Bacterial small subunit ribosomal RNA", at positions 524 to 776 of the family's 1533-position model. The record is from RNAcentral.
UACGUAGGCAGCGAGCGUUGUUCGGAGUUACUGGGCGUAAAGAGUGCGUAGGCGGUUUUCUAAGUUUGGUGUGAAAUCUCCCGGCUUAACUGGGAGGGUGCGCCGAAAACUGGAAGGCUUGAGUAUGGGAGAGGUAAGCGGAAUUCCUGGUGUAGCGGUGAAAUGCGCAGAUAUCAGGAGGAACACCGGUGGCGAAGGCGGGUCUCUGGGCCGAUACUGACACUGAGGAGCGAAAGCGUGGGGAGCGAACAGG